This 511-nucleotide ribosomal RNA is filed under the name uncultured archaeon. RNAcentral describes it as "bacterial SSU rRNA". It matches the Rfam family "Archaeal small subunit ribosomal RNA", at positions 346 to 859 of the family's 1478-position model. The record is from RNAcentral.
ACCUCUGCAAUAGGCGAAAGCUUGACAGGGUUACUCUGAGUGAUUUCCGUUAAGGAAAUCUUUUGGCACCUCUAAAAAUGGUGCAGAAUAAGGGGUGGGCAAGUCUGGUGUCAGCCGCCGCGGUAAUACCAGCACCCCGAGUGGUCGGGACGUUUAUUGGGCCUAAAGCAUCCGUAGCCGGUUCUACAAGUCUUCCGUUAAAUCCAACUGCUUAACAGGUGGGCUGCGGAAGAUACUAUAGAGCUAGGAGGCGGGAGAGGCAAGCGGUACUCGAUGGGUAGGGGUAAAAUCCGUUGAUCCAUUGAAGACCACCAGUGGCGAAGGCGGCUUGCCAGAACGCGCUCGACGGUGAGGGAUGAAAGCUGGGGGAGCAAACCGGAUUAGAUACCCGGGUAGUCCCAGCUGUAAACGAUGCAGACUCGGUGAUGAGUUGGCUAYAUGCCAUCUCAGUGCCGCAGGGAAGCCGUUAAGUUUGCCGCCUGGGGAGUACGGUCGCAAGACUGAAACUUAA